This 403-nucleotide ribosomal RNA is filed under the name uncultured Eubacteriaceae bacterium. RNAcentral's name for it is "bacterial SSU rRNA". It matches the Rfam family "Bacterial small subunit ribosomal RNA", at positions 356 to 774 of the family's 1533-position model. The record is from RNAcentral. Lineage: Bacteria; Bacillati; Bacillota; Clostridia; Eubacteriales; Eubacteriaceae.
GGGGAAUAUUGCGCCAUGGGGGAAACACUGACGCUGCAAUACCGCGUGAGUGACGAAGGUUUUAGGUACACAACGCUCUGCUCUCGGGGAAGAGCAAAAGACGGUACUCAAGUAGAAAGUCGCGGCUAACUACGUGCCAGCAGCCGCGGUAAUACGUAGGGGACAAGCGUUGUCCGGAUUUACUGGGCGUAAAGGGCACGCAGGCGGUUUUUUAAGUCAGAUGUGAAAGGUACCGGCUCAACCGGUGACAUGCAUUUGAAACUGAAAGACUUGAGUAUUGGAGAGGCAAGUGGAAUUCCUAGUGUAGCGGUGAAAUGCGUAGAUAUUAGGAGGAACACCAGUGGCGAAGGCGACUUUCUGGACUACAACUGACGCUGAGGCACGAAAGCGUGGGGAGCAAACA